This 576-nucleotide ribosomal RNA is filed under the name uncultured bacterium. RNAcentral describes it as "partial 16S ribosomal RNA". It matches the Rfam family "Bacterial small subunit ribosomal RNA", at positions 355 to 923 of the family's 1533-position model. The record is from RNAcentral.
UGGGGAAUUUUGGACAAUGGGCGAAAGCCUGAUCCAGCAAUGCCGCGUGUGUGAAGAAGGCCUUCGGGUUGUAAAGCACUUUUGUCCGGAAAGAAAUCCUUGGCUCUAAUACAGUCGGGGGAUGACGGUACCGGAAGAAUAAGCACCGGCUAACUACGUGCCAGCAGCCGCGGUAAUACGUAGGGUGCAAGCGUUAAUCGGAAUUACUGGGCGUAAAGCGUGCGCAGGCGGUUUGCUAAGACCGAUGUGAAAUCCCCGGGCUCAACCUGGGAACUGCAUUGGUGACUGGCAGGCUAGAGUAUGGCAGAGGGGGGUAGAAUUCCACGUGUAGCAGUGAAAUGCGUAGAGAUGUGGAGGAAUACCGAUGGCGAAGGCAGCCCCCUGGGCCAAUACUGACGCUCAUGCACGAAAGCGUGGGGAGCAAACAGGAUUAGAUACCCUGGUAGUCCACGCCCUAAACGAUGUCAACUAGUUGUUGGGGACUUCAUUUCCUUAGUAACGUAGCUAACGCGUGAAGUUGACCGCCUGGGGAGUACGGUCGCAAGAUUAAAACUUAAAGGAAUUGACGGGGUCAUA